RNAcentral lists this ribosomal RNA (473 nucleotides) under uncultured Roseibacillus sp. Its description in RNAcentral is "bacterial SSU rRNA". It matches the Rfam family "Bacterial small subunit ribosomal RNA", at positions 76 to 547 of the family's 1533-position model. The record is from RNAcentral. Lineage: Bacteria; Pseudomonadati; Verrucomicrobiota; Verrucomicrobiia; Verrucomicrobiales; Verrucomicrobiaceae.
UAGCUUGCUAAUGAAAUUCUUAGUGGCGGACGGGUUAGUAACACGUGAGAAUCCUACCCUUGAGUGGGGAAUAGCCUUUCGAAAGGAAGAUUAAUGCCCCAUAGUCUCUACGGAGUAAAGAUGCCUUCGGGUGUCGCUUAAGGAUGGGCUCGCGGCCUAUCAGCUAGUUGGUGAGGUAAGAGCUCACCAAGGCAACGACGGGUAGCUGGUCUGAGAGGACGAUCAGCAACACUGGAACUGAGACACGGUCCAGACACCUACGGGUGGCAGCAGUCGAGAAUCAUUCACAAUGGACGAAAGUCUGAUGGUGCAACGCCGCGUGGAGGAUGACGGCCCUAGGGUUGUAAACUCCUGUCAUCAGGGAGUAAGACUUAUUCGUUAAUAGCGUGUAAGUUUGAUAGUACCUGAAGAGGAAGGGACGGCUAACUUCGUGCCAGCAGCCGCGGUAAUACGAAGGUCCCAAGCGUUGUUCG